CAGGGAGACAACAAAAUGUUUAAUAUUAUUAUUUUGUCACCUUAGGUCGAUCGGUAUCUCACAUUCUUAAUUUAUUAAGGAUUUUAUUUCCUAAGUUUUUCUAGGUCACACCCAUUACUUUUCCUGGGCCAUUAGCUCAGGUGGUUAGAGCGCACCCCUGAUAAGGGUGAGGUCCCUGGUUCAAGUCCAGGAUGGCCCAUAUCUCUAUGUUGGGGGUAUAGCUCAGUUGGUAGAGCGCCUGCUUUGCAAGCAGGAUGUCAGCGGUUCGAGUCCGCUUACCUCCACUGAUUACCACCUCUUCCAUAAUUAUUAGGGAAUGUUUUGAGUAGUGAUCAAAUUCUGAACGAAUCUAGCUUCCUGAUGAAUUCAUUAAGAUGCUGGACUCAUUGAAUUAUUUUCAUUGUUUUCAGAGAACCUUGACAACUGCAUAGAUUAUUUUUAAAGACAAUAAGCAUCUUUAUGAUGCAGAUUUAUUAUUUGUGCGAAUGCAUUAAUAACAAUUCUAUUAAGCUGAUGCUUCAAUUAUGAAGUUAUU
Molecule: transfer RNA, 535 nt
Filed under: uncultured Prochlorococcus sp.
Lineage: Bacteria; Bacillati; Cyanobacteriota; Cyanophyceae; Synechococcales; Prochlorococcaceae
Description: partial 16S-23S ribosomal RNA intergenic spacer
Rfam family: tRNA (bases 212-284)
Source: RNAcentral